This is a non-coding RNA of Microcebus murinus (gray mouse lemur), 1826 nucleotides long. NCBI's taxonomy places the organism in Eukaryota, Metazoa, Chordata, Mammalia, Primates, Cheirogaleidae. The record is from RefSeq and is a predicted model, not a curated record.
GUGGGGAAGGGGACAGAGGAUGUCACCCCCCUUCCCUCAGUCGGUUCACUUCCCUGCAAGAUGCCCAAGGCCACCACAGGUAUGGAAGGUGGCUUAUCAGUUGAGCAGUUUUCCCCAGGAGCCAUCUGAGGCUCUGCGAGGUCAAGUAACACAUUCAAGGUCACAGAGCCAGGAAGUGGUAACCUUGGGUGCUGGUCUCUGAAGCCUGUCCUCCCGGCUGGCUCUUUAAAGAAACAACCUAUGUCCACAUGGUGGUCUCAGGAGCUCCCCUGGGAGACAGCCCUGAGCUCUGCGGGCCAGGGGAGAUCCAAGCUGAGCAGUAUGUCGGCCUUGGUGUUCCCAUCUGGGAAGUGGGCGGCCGCACUGGAGGAGGUGGAGAUGCUUUAGGGGCAUCUGAGGCUACAGGUGCGGGGAACACCUGCAAGGUAGGGGGAGGGGAGGAAGGUCCUUCCUGGACAGGUGCCUUUCCCCUAGCUGAGGGUGGUCUCAGACUGGGUUGGGUCCCCGGCUUGGGGCAGCCCAGGGCAAGGAGCCAAGCCCGGCAGAGCCGGCGGGAGAAUGUAAACACAGGGCCCGGGGCGGCGGGCUGCAGGGCAGGGGGUGCCCUGGGGAGGGCGGAGGGUGUGUCUCCCGGAGGUGGGAGCAGGGCACGCCUCGGGCCGCGCGGAGUCCGGAGGAGGGUGUGUCCCGGGCAGGAGGCACCCGCUCUGUUCCCAGGCAGACGGCCCCCACCCCCAGGUUCGGUGUUGGCCCGGGGCCGGACUGCAGGCCCGGGGCCUCGUGGCCCUGCCUGGAGCCGUCCGCUUAGGCCCGACGCGCGUGGGUCAGGGGAAGGAAACCCGGACACAGGUCCUGGAGUCCAGCCACAGGUGGGCCUCCAUACACGUGAGCCUCGGUCCUGCUGGUCCUCCCCACAGAUGUGCUUCCAUGCGGGCGUGCCUCAUGCAGAUGUUCCCAGGUCUUUCCUUCGCUUGAGCACAAUUUUACGCAGGUGUUUCUCAUACAAGGUGGUUUCUUUUACCUCACAGGUACGUUUCUCAACAAGUGUUCCUCCACCCAUGAAUGCAUUAUACAGUCUCCCUCCCAGUAGGUGUGUUCCAUCAAGCACACACCCAUCUGAGUACGUUUCCAUAGAACUAAGUCCCAUAGUCCCAUACAGGUGUACUUACCCACAGGUGUGUCUCAUACAGGUAUUUACAAUACAUUUCCACGCAGGAAUUCCCGCAGACAAGCGUUGUACAUUUCACAGAUGUGCCAUGCAGAUGCAUUUCCAAAACAGGUCUACACCGCACCACAGUGCCUACUCAGAUGUUUGCUAUAAUGCAGGUGUGUUCUAUACAGAUGUUUUCCACACAGGUGUGCUUCCAUUCAGUUAUACUUUAUAUAGAUGUGGUUCAAUACAGUUGUAGCCUGUAAGCGUUCUUACACGUGAAUCCGUGCAGGCAUCUUCCAUACAGGUUUGUCCCCAUACAGGUCUUGACCACGCGGGUGUUUUUUCGGCAGGAGUGCCUCAUACACGCGUGUCUACGUGCCCCGUGUGUUUUCACACCUGUGCGCUCCUACAGAUGUGCCCGCAGUACAGGUGUGAGGUCCCUCUGACAUCUGCAGGCUUCUUCAUUCUGGGAUUGGCUUUCCGUUACAGGUGCGCCCUGGGCGCGGCCCCGCCCCCUUCUUGGCUCCGCCCUCUCAUCUAGGCUCAGGUGCACAAGCCGGAAGUGCGCUCCCCUCCCAGGUGCCCAGCCGUAGGUACCCCGGGCGCGAGAUGCGGUAGGAGAGGCGAGCGCGAGAAGCCCCAUCCCCGGCGCUGCCAACCCGCCACCCAGCCC